UACGGAGGUGGCAAGCGUUGCUCGGAAUCACUGGGCGUAAAGGGUGCGUAGGCGGCGCGGUAAGUCGGGUGUGAAAUUUCGGAGCUUAACUCCGAAACUGCAUUCGAUACUGCCGUGCUUGAGGACUGGAGAGGAGACUGGAAUUUACGGUGUAGCAGUGAAAUGCGUAGAGAUCGUAAGGAAGACCAGUGGCGAAGGCGGGUCUCUGGACAGUUCCUGACACUGAGGCACGAAGGCCAGGGGAGCAAACGGG
Molecule: ribosomal RNA, 253 nt
Filed under: uncultured bacterium
Lineage: Bacteria
Description: partial 16S ribosomal RNA
Rfam family: Bacterial small subunit ribosomal RNA
Source: RNAcentral